GCAUUCGUGGUGUAGUGGUCAGCACUUUCGGUGCGUAUUCGAGAGGUCCGUAGUUCGAGUCCCGGCGAGGGCA
Molecule: transfer RNA, 73 nt
Filed under: Stegodyphus mimosarum
Lineage: Eukaryota; Metazoa; Arthropoda; Arachnida; Araneae; Eresidae
Rfam family: tRNA
About the family: Transfer RNA (tRNA) molecules are approximately 80 nucleotides in length. Their secondary structure includes four short double-helical elements and three loops (D, anti-codon, and T loops).
Source: Rfam by way of RNAcentral